GGCUCAGGAUGAACGCUAGCGGCAGGCUUAACACAUGCAAGUCGAGGGGCAGCGCGAGUAGCAAUACUUGGCGGCGACCGGCGCAAGGGUGCGUAACGCGUGAGCAACAUGCCCGUAUCAGGGGGAUAAUCCAGGGAAACUUGGUCUAAUACCCCAUAGUAAUUUUGUAAGGCAUCUUAUAAGAUUUAAAGCUUUGGUGGAUACGGAUUGGCUCGCGUGACAUUAGCUGGAUGGUAAGGUAACGGCUUACCAUGGCUAUGAUGUCUAGGGGUUCUGAGAGGAAGGUCCCCCCACACUGGAACUGAGACACGGUCCAGACUCCUACGGGAGGCAGCAGUGAGGAAUAUUGGACAAUGGAUGGAAAUCUGAUCCAGCCAUGCCGCGUGAAGGAAGAAAGGUCCUAUGGAUUGUAAACUUCUUUUGUAUGGGAGCAAUAAGGCCUACGAGUAGGUUGAUGAGAGUACCAUACGAAUAAGCACCGGCUAACUCCGUGCCAGCAGCUGC
This 504-nucleotide ribosomal RNA is filed under the name uncultured bacterium. Its description in RNAcentral is "bacterial SSU rRNA". It matches the Rfam family "Bacterial small subunit ribosomal RNA", at positions 21 to 518 of the family's 1533-position model. The record is from RNAcentral.